GCCGAGUCCAGUUCCCAGGGAUGUGGGUCUGUGGUUGGAAAGCGUUGGUUUUGGGAGGCCAAGGUGUGCAGACAGUCGCCGGAGAGUCCCGGAGACUUCUGGAGCCGCGUGCCACGGAGAGCAGCACUCGUAGGCUCUCGUUGUGCAGACCUAUCUAGGAAUCAGGCGCUGUGCCCACGUCCUGGGCUGGAACUGGGUCCUGUGUGUUCAGGAGACUGAGCAAAGAUCUGACUGAGUGCCCAGUGCACCCAAACACUGUUGCUCCUGCCCCUCCCAGAGAAAACUCACGAGUGAGUUUGUGAAACCACGCUGCUCUUUCCUUUUAUAUUAAUGAGCAAUAUUUAAUUAAAAGCUAAUUGAAUAUUCCAGACGGCAAUUAUCUUGCAAUAG
This 390-nucleotide long non-coding RNA is filed under the name Equus caballus (horse). RNAcentral's name for it is "lncRNA (ENSECAG00000040458.3)". The record is from RNAcentral. Lineage: Eukaryota; Metazoa; Chordata; Mammalia; Perissodactyla; Equidae.